This 253-nucleotide ribosomal RNA is filed under the name uncultured bacterium. RNAcentral describes it as "partial 16S ribosomal RNA". It matches the Rfam family "Bacterial small subunit ribosomal RNA", at positions 524 to 776 of the family's 1533-position model. The record is from RNAcentral.
GACGAAGGGGGCUAGCGUUGUUCGGAAUUACUGGGCGUAAAGCGCGUGUAGGCGGUUGCCAUAGUCAGGUGUGAAAGCCUUGAGCUCAACUCAAGAAAUGCACUUGAUACUGGGCGACUAGAGGACCGGAGAGGAUAGUGGAAUUCCCAGUGUAGUGGUGAAAUUCGUAGAGAUUGGGAAGAACACCAGUGGCGAAGGCGGCUAUCUGGACGGUUUCUGACGCUAAGACGCGAAAGCGUGGGGAGCAAACAGG